UCGGAUAUGGUGUAAUGGUUAACAUUGCCGCCUCUCAUGCAUUUAAGGCAUUCCACACAGCUCCGCGGCAGCUCGGGGUUCGAUUCCCCGUAUCCGAA
Molecule: non-coding RNA, 98 nt
Organism: Pterulicium gracile
Lineage: Eukaryota; Fungi; Basidiomycota; Agaricomycetes; Agaricales; Pterulaceae
Source: the annotation of a GenBank genome assembly